This 253-nucleotide ribosomal RNA is filed under the name uncultured bacterium. Its description in RNAcentral is "partial 16S ribosomal RNA". It matches the Rfam family "Bacterial small subunit ribosomal RNA", at positions 524 to 776 of the family's 1533-position model. The record is from RNAcentral.
UACGUAGGCAGCAAGCGUUGUUCGGAAUUACUGGGCGUAAAGCGAGUGUAGGCGGUUCGAUAAGUUUGGUGUGAAAUCUCCCGGCUCAACUGGGAGGGUGCGCCGAAGACUGUCGAGCUAGAGUGUGGGAGAGGUAGGCGGAAUUCCUGGUGUAGCGGUGAAAUGCGUAGAUAUCGGGAGGAACACCAGUGGCGAAGGCGGUUAGCUGGCCUGUAACUGACACUGAGGCGCGAAGGCUAGGGGAGCGAACAGG